AGCCCAUUGGUCCAAUGGUAGGGCAUGAGAUUCCGGCUCUCGAGGUCGGGGUUCGAUUCCCCGGUGGGUUG
RNAcentral lists this transfer RNA (71 nucleotides) under Tetrahymena thermophila SB210. RNAcentral describes it as "Tetrahymena thermophila tRNA-Arg for anticodon CCG". It matches the Rfam family "tRNA". From Rfam's summary of the family: Transfer RNA (tRNA) molecules are approximately 80 nucleotides in length. Their secondary structure includes four short double-helical elements and three loops (D, anti-codon, and T loops). Lineage: Eukaryota; Ciliophora; Oligohymenophorea; Hymenostomatida; Tetrahymenidae. The record is from Rfam by way of RNAcentral.